RNAcentral lists this ribosomal RNA (410 nucleotides) under uncultured microorganism. Its description in RNAcentral is "bacterial SSU rRNA". It matches the Rfam family "Bacterial small subunit ribosomal RNA", at positions 509 to 917 of the family's 1533-position model. The record is from RNAcentral.
CAGCCGCCGCGGUAAUACGUAGGGUGCGAGCGUUAAUCGGAUUUACUGGGCGUAAAGCGUGCGCAGGCGGCCCGUUAAGACAGGUGUGAAAUCCCUGGGCUCAACCUAGGAAUUGCGCUUGUGACUGGCGGGCUCGAGUACGGUAGAGGGGGGUGGAAUUCCUGGUGUAGCAGUGAAAUGCGUAGAGAUCAGGAGGAAAACCGAUGGCGAAGGCAGCCCCCUGGGCCUGUACUGACGCUCAUGCACGAAAGCGUGGGGAGCAACCAGGAUUAGAUACCCUGGUAGUCCACGCCCUAAACGAUGGGUACUAGCCGUUUGGUGCGCGAGAGCGCUGAGUGGCGAAGCUAACGCGUGAAGUACCCCGCCUGGGGAGUACGGCCGCAAGGUUGAAACUUAAAGGAAUUGGCGGG